This 222-nucleotide unclassified non-coding RNA is filed under the name uncultured fungus. Its description in RNAcentral is "sequence contains ITS1, 5.8S rRNA gene". The stretch from base 174 to 222 matches the Rfam family "5.8S ribosomal RNA", at positions 1 to 49 of the family's 154-position model. Lineage: Eukaryota; Fungi. The record is from RNAcentral.
UCUCCGUUGGUGAACCAGCGGAGGGAUCAUUACCGAGUACUACACUCAUAACCCUUUGUGAACCUUUAUACCUGUUGCUUCGGCGGCGCGCCUCCCGGGGCGUGCCCGCCGGUAUCAUCAGAAUCUCUGUUUGAACCCGACGAUACAUCUGAGUGUUCUAAGCGAACUGUUAAAACUUUCAACAACGGAUCUCUUGGCUCCAGCAUCGAUGAAGAACGCAGC